ACUCAACACUAUACAAUUAAAAAAGGUGAGUUUCUGUUGUAAAAGCAUGCCGUCCUAGUAACGGAUCCUUGAUCAGCGGGGUAGCCUUAAACCUGUUUUUCAGGAGUUU
This is a small RNA of Zhouia amylolytica AD3, 109 nucleotides long. It matches the Rfam family "6S-Flavo RNA". Lineage: Bacteria; Pseudomonadati; Bacteroidota; Flavobacteriia; Flavobacteriales; Flavobacteriaceae. The record is from Rfam.